CCUACGGGAGGCUGCAGUAGGGAAUAUUGGUCAAUGGGUGAGAGCCUGAACCAGCCAUGCCGCGUGCAGGAAGACGGCCUUCUGGGUUGUAAACUGCUUUUGCCGGGGAAUAAAAUACCCAUGCGUGGGAAAUUGAAGGUACCCGGUGAAUAAGCCACGGCUAACUACGUGCCAGCAGCCGCGGUAAUACGUAGGUGGCGAGCGUUGUCCGGAUUUAUUGGGUUUAAAGGGUGCGUAGGCGGCCUUGUAAGUCAGUUCUGAAAUAUCCCGGCUUAACCGGGAGGGUGGGAUUGAUACUGCUUGGCUUGAGUGAAGUCGAGGUAGGCGGAAUUGACGGUGUAGCGGUGAAAUGCUUAGAUAUCGUCAAGAACACCGAUAGCGUAGGCAGCUUACUAGACUUUAACUGACGCUGAGGCACGAAAGUGUGGGGAUCAAACAGG
RNAcentral lists this ribosomal RNA (440 nucleotides) under uncultured bacterium. RNAcentral's name for it is "bacterial SSU rRNA". It matches the Rfam family "Bacterial small subunit ribosomal RNA", at positions 338 to 776 of the family's 1533-position model. The record is from RNAcentral.